RNAcentral lists this ribosomal RNA (442 nucleotides) under uncultured bacterium. RNAcentral's name for it is "bacterial SSU rRNA". It matches the Rfam family "Bacterial small subunit ribosomal RNA", at positions 340 to 773 of the family's 1533-position model. The record is from RNAcentral.
UACGGGAGGCAGCAGUGGGGAAUAUUGCACAAUGGGCGCAAGCCUGAUGCAGCCAUGCCGCGUGUAUGAAGAAGGCCUUCGGGUUGUAAAGUACUUUCAGUCGUGAGGAAGGUGUUAAGGUUAAUAACCUUAGCAAUUGACGUUAGCGACAGAAGAAGCACCGGCUAACUCCGUGCCAGCAGCCGCGGUAAUACGGAGGGUGCGAGCGUUAAUCGGAAUUACUGGGCGUAAAGGGCACGCAGGCGGUUAAUUAAGUUGGAUGUGAAAUCCCCGGGCUUAACCUGGGAAUGGCAUUCAAGACUGGUUAGCUAGAGUCUUGUAGAGGGGGGUUAGAAUUCCAUGUGUAGCGGUGAAAUGCGUAGAGAUGUGGAGGAAUACCGGUGGCGAAGGCGGCCCCUGGGACAAAGACUGACGCUCAUGUGCGAAAGCGUGGGGAGCAAAC